This is a long non-coding RNA of Bombus pyrosoma, 5778 nucleotides long. RefSeq lists it as uncharacterized. The transcript has 6 exons. The record is from RefSeq and is a predicted model, not a curated record. Lineage: Eukaryota; Metazoa; Arthropoda; Insecta; Hymenoptera; Apidae.
AUCACGUACAGCUUGCGAUAUCGACACGAUCGAGACAAGCUUUUAGAAGCCUCGUUAGCUCGGUGCCUCUCUGCACCGCUCCAUUCGCGAAGGCGUGAGCACAGAUCGUCGUAUAUUAUUUAUAAAAAUAUGGAAAUUGCGUCAAAGAAGAUUGGGAAAGACCGCGAUAAGAAAAGUUCCUGACAGUCCAUAUCGUUGCCGUAGCGUUUCGUGAUCGUCAUAUUUUCCAGUUUAAAUGAAUACAUUGGGCCAGCGGUAUUCGAUCACAUUUAUUGGUACGUAACAGUUAUUGGAUCUGUAAAGUCUCUCAUGAGGAGGAGCGUCCAUUGUUCAAUUGUUGACGAAGUAACUCUUCGACGAACAAAACUAACGAUGCCUUCGGCAUCGAAGCAAGAGCAGAAUUACUAUAUUUUUAUUCAAAAGUUUUUGUUUAAUAUUCAUAUUUAUGAACACGAAAUUAUUCGAUACUUCCGAGAUUCUUGAAUCUGAGAAAUUCGAUUAUUCGAAUAGCGUGUUCCACGAUUGGUUCGGAUAAUCCAGGCUCAAUUCUGUUUACAGUGGCUCACGAGAAUAUUUGAACACUUACUACAGAGAACGUCUAUGCACAAGUAUAUAUUCUACAUUAUACACACAUAUUAUAUAAAACAUUUUGAAAUUUCAUUAGCACAAUAAUGAGACACAACUAUCAUUAUCAUAUUGGUAAAAUUCGAAGCGAAUCUCAUUAUACAAUGCUAAUGAGAUUUCAAAAUAUUCCAUAGAGAACACGUACAUAAUAUAUUCGCGAAAGAAUAGUUUGAGUAUUUUCGUGAGUCGUUGUAUUUCUGAAUAUAUCAGACGAAUAUGGAAUUCAUAAUAGUUCGUCAUCGUGAACGAGGAAGAUUAAACACGGAUGACGCAAAGACACGAUGCCAGCUAUUAUCUGUGCAACACAGAACAUGUAUUCCGACGUAGAGGAUAUUAUAGAAAUUGCAGAAGACCCAAGACUGGUAUCGAUGUUUGCUGGAUGCUUCAGCUGCUUCGCCGGUAGCAAAGAUUAAUCCUAUAUGAACGAAUAUUCGGUGUAUCUUUGUUGAUACAACGAGGAUGUAUGUCCGAGCAUUGCGUGGAAUUCUCGCUCACAAGCUUUCCAUCAUUUCCUCGGGAAAUGUGCACCAUCUGCAUACACAGGAUACUGAAGUUCUGGAACACAAGCUUAAAAGUUAGAUUCUGUUUGCAAGAAAACUGGCAGAACACCGAAUAUUUAAUACUUUAUUUUUGCACACUUCGUAUUUUAUUUAGAAAAGAUAUUCUUUUCGAGGAAUGAAAAUCGUAUCUGCGACCAGGGUAAACCUUAUUUGAAGUAAAGAUAAAAAUUAACAAUUUGAAAUAAUGACUUUCAGAUCUGAAUGAUCGAAUUUCAUCGAGAAUUAUCUUGAUGAAAUUCAACAUAGAGAAUGUAGAUAUUUAACUUCAUUUUGCAUCGAAAUCAAAUAAAUUAUCUUUGAGUACCUUUCUGUCUUAAUUGACGAUAUUAAAUGAAAUAACAUUUGAGUUAUAAACGGUAUAAGUGAAUUAUUUUACAACCUAACGAUAUUCAGGAUAUUUCAAUCUUUUAAUUUUACCUGGAAGAAUGCACAUUAUAUCUUCGUUAAAUAUCAUACCGAGUUUGUGAUUCUCACGUUUGCUUACUCUGGAAUAUUCUGUUGGACUGCGAUGUUUCCAUCUACAUCCUACGCUCAUCCACGAAUGUAGAAUAGAUUGUUUCAGGAUGACGUUACAGGAAUUUUAUGUAUUUCUCAGAAACAAGCUUGCGAAUUGUAACAUGUAAAAAAGCUGAGCACAGUCAACUCGAAAACAUAAUUAGACACUGCCACACCAAACGUAAUAAGCAAGAGGACAUAAUACUCUUUCAUAAAUAUAUAAUCGCAGCGGAAAAUAAGCGACAUAAUUUUUCCAAAUUUCUACUCGUAUUAUAAGUCUCUCCAUGUUCACGAACUUGUCGUAACGCGUGGGUGAAAGUAUCGUGUGCUCUACGCAAUCGAAAGAGAAACUUCCGCUUCCUGAAGCGAGGUUCUCGUUAUGUAGACGAGUCAAUUACGCUCGUUUUUGCUCUUGACACUUCAGGGUUUCUUCGAGCGAGAUCGACGUGCACGCACAUCUGCUCGAACGAUCGGGAUGUUGGUUUCUAAUUAUUAAUUUGCGUAAUUACCGCACCGCAUGACACCGAGCAAUUGGUUUUUAAUUGAAGCUCGAUGACUACCCCCGUUUUAAUGCAAUUCUGAUGUCGUGUUUUGGUGGCCGAUGAAAAUGGGAAGCAUAUAGACAUAUACUGAACUGACGUAGCCAGCCAUUCGUGUUUUAAUUGGUUUUUCUACGGAAAUAAUUUACGAGCGAUAAUUUGACGCAUCUCGUUGUUUUGUAUUUAAUAUGUUCCUUAUUAAUAAUGAUGAAUCGCAGGAAGACAAAUAACGUUUCGUUUAAAUCCACGUUUCAGCGAACGCGAAAUUCAACGUGAAAAAUCAAUUGUAUCAUUUUCUCUCACUUUUCCUGCCAACUUACACAUACCGAGCAAUAUACUUGAAAUACCGCUACGAAGAUAGAAGGUUCUCCGGACUUUUUCCUGCCGAUAUGUACGCGUCAAACCGCGCUUCGACCGACUUGAAAAACUGGUGCUGAUAAUAACGAAACGAGUUUUGAGAUAAAACGAGCGAGCAGUAUUCAGUUCUGUGCCACGUUUGGCAGAUCCACUCGACGAUCCCCCUCCUUUUUUUACCUCUUUUUCCUCGUUUUUUCUCCUCACCCUAUUCCUUUUUUUUCUCUUUUGCAGUGUCAUGAAUCUCAAAAAAAAGUUGAACUAUGACUUUUUGUUAACGAGAAAUACAGAUACGCGAUGAUCGUUGCGAAGAAAUCCCUCGCAAAUGGCCCAGAUGUGAAGCUGAUAAAACGUCGGUGAAAAGCAAAAGCUGACGAUCGGUUUCAACGUUUGAAAAAUGUGUAUCGAUACGCAGAAUGUUGGAUUAUUGAUAACAAAAACAGACAGACAGUUUUACUACCAAGAUCGACAAUCAGACAGUUGUACGCUGUGUUUCGAAAGUAUUUAAAUAUUUACCAUACGUCACUUUUACUAUCACAUGUUCGCUGUGUCAUACGAAGUGGACUGACUUUGUGAGAUACCGUCCGUUGUGAGACAUCUCCAAUUCCAAAUCCUCCCAUUCAGUUUACAUGUUGUAUUGUUCAACAACAAUCCGCGCGCGUUUAAAAAGCAUCGAUAGAACUCGUACGUAUUAUUCGACAAUAUGGAAAGAUACUUGAUUCGAUACGAUUCUCUGAAGUAUACUACAGCAAGAGUAUUUGGACGCACAUAGGGGAAGGUCAGCUGCAGUUGUCGUGGUUGAUAACUUCACGUAUUCUGUGACUCUGGAUUCUCUCCACUUUUCCGGCUGAAAAAAAGGAACUAGAACUUGUACGUUCCUUUUGUAACUUUUCAAGCGACUGACUUCUUUCUAUUCCCUUUCAUCCUUUGCUUCCUAUCCCUAUUUCCGUGAACGCUUCCGUGGACAAUUGGCCCCGUAUUCUUUUCACGAACAGUGACCAUACGACUUACAUUCGUGCCACGUUGAAAAAAAUAUCCAGUUCUGCAAUUUUUAGGCUUGUAAACGCUGGAUGAGCCGAGUAAGAAUGUCUCGGUCGAUGUAAAUUUCCGCAGAGGAGCUAACACAGAGGAGUUCAUUUCAGUUUUUUCGUAUACCUUUAGCUUUUCAAGUCGGACUGAUAAAACGUACGAGUACAAUGGCUGACGAAAGUAUUUCAACCUGCAAGCAAAUUUAACUCAGACAAAUAAUUUUAGUGUCUUAAGAAUAUCUGCAGCCUAUAAUUGACACGAGAACUUCAUAACAAUUAUUUCGUGUUUCCCUGGAAUUUGAGAAACUUUUUAACAAUUCAGCCCCGAUCGAAAUGUACCCAGAGGACACGGCACAGUUAAAACACACUGUUCACUGAUUCGUAUUGGGUAGUUAUGAACUGUUUCUAUUCAAGCGAUCGAGCAUCAUGAGCUUGUAACUUCCAGUUUGCGUUAAUGUUCAUAGCGAGCUGUGAUGCAUGUCAUUCAUUCGACAUCACUUUCACGAGCCAUUCGAUAAAACCGGACACGAUAAUUCUGGCACGGCAAGCAUUUCAUCGUGCUAUCGGCGUUAAUUUGUAUGCCCGAUAAGCGUGGAAAUUGCAGCGACGUUUGAAUGCUUGAUUUUCGUUCGACCAAGGUGGUAGUUGUUUUCGACGAGUCACUCACAUCAGUUGAAUAGAUUUUGCUCCUGCUUUCACGACUGUUCUUCAUCGAAGUUUGGUACCCUUCCAUUCAACUGGGCCAUUAAGAGUUGGCUAAUACCAUGAUUUAACUCAAUGUCUUUUGUGCGACUCGUGGUUUUCAAGGAAACGCCCGCCAAGUCAUUAUUCUCGCGAGAAUAAAUUUUGUUUCAAGUUUCAGGUUAUCGUUUAUGAAAAAUAUAAUAUCCAAUAUAAUUAAAUCGUGGACGUACGUGUAAAUUCAUAUAUUUCUGAACGCAACCGAAGAAAUAAAGUGGCUACGAAAUCGAAAGCUGACUCGUUAAUGAAAGCCGCUGUUCAGAGUUAAUGGUGUGCUUGAUAAUUCUGUUGCCAUAGAAUUUCGACUGCAUUCGACGAUUUAGUACGCUGAUCUCGGGACGAUAACGCAAGAAGAUCAAAGGGUAAAAGCUAUACAUAUCUAUAAUAAAUGGCAUCAUUAAUGGAGCCCAGUCGCCAUAAGAUCAGCGCGAAAUAUCCCCAUCAUCUAUAGUAGUCUCGCGUGUGCCGACCAGUUCACGCUCGGAUAUAUCCGAAAAUCGCAAUUAUUUUUUGUCAAGAAUAUUUUGAACGGGACCAGAGAAAAUGACUAAAAAAUGAAGCCAUCGAUACUGAUUAAAAUAUUCAUUACUGAUUGUAGGAAAUUCGGUAAUGAAUAUUUCAAUUUCAGAAAAAUUCUCGCCUAACUCGACUAAUGAUAAGAUUCGUUAAACCUCAGAUAAUUAUCGCCGUUGAUUAUGGAACGUGAUAGUUAUCAACGUUGGUUACAGAACGUUAUAUUACCGUUAAAUAAUAACUAUGCAACGAUGAAUAAUAUGUAGAUAGCGAAUUUUGUGUAAAGCGUUAGAAAUAAGCCUCGUGAAUCAUUUUCUUGGGAAAUAUCGGAGAUAACGAGGAAAUUCUUGUUUGACGUCGCAGAGAGAUAAAGGAAAUGCAGCACCAGCCCCUUGAGGUGCGAUCAUAUUACACAUGUCACAAUAAAUAAAUUCUAAAACAUCAAAGAGCCUUAUUGCCGUAUCGAAGUAUUUCCAAAAGCUUAAAUAAUUUAUUUCACGUAAUAUUGGUGUGAUAACUGUGCGAUUAAAUCGUUCACAUAAUUAUAACGCUUCAAAAAUAGCGUCGAUAAAUAUUGUAAAUUAAACGAACCUCUUAUUAUCGCCUUAGCUCCUAUAAAUAUCUAUAUCCAUUGAAAUAUCCAUUUUGCGUGUUUCCAUCAUUAAACUAAUUCCAAACGAAGGAGAAUUGUCUAACGCCCAUUAACUCCAAAAACGUUCGGGAUGAUAGAUGUUAUCGUGACAAGUAGCGUGCCAUUCUGUAGUACCCUGGGAGACAUCACUAACUGUUACUACUGUAAAUGAAAUAUGCCAGACAAGCAGAACAUUCCGCCAUUCAUUUGUUCGUCGAACAGAACAAUAAUAGCGAAGAUAUAUUGCGCUGUAAGCGAUACGUAAUUCCUAUGUUUAUAAUUCUACGUCUCUA